Molecule: ribosomal RNA, 1443 nt
Filed under: Campylobacter coli
Lineage: Bacteria; Pseudomonadati; Campylobacterota; Epsilonproteobacteria; Campylobacterales; Campylobacteraceae
Description: partial 23S ribosomal RNA
Rfam family: Bacterial large subunit ribosomal RNA
Source: RNAcentral
GUGCUAGUCUAAGGUCGUAGGAGGUUAUACAGGCAAAUCCGUAUAACAAUACUCCGAGAACUGAAAGGCUUUUUGAAGUCUUCGGAUGGAUAGAAGAACCCCUGAUGCCGUCGAGCCAAGAAAAGUUUCUAAGUUUAGCUAAUGUUGCCCGUACCGUAAACCGACACAGGUGGGUGGGAUGAGUAUUCUAAGGCGCGUGGAAGAACUCUCUUUAAGGAACUCUGCAAAAUAGCACCGUAUCUUCGGUAUAAGGUGUGGUUCGCUUCGUAUUAGGAUUUACUCCGAAAGCGAAGAAACUUACAACAAAGAGUCCCUCCCGACUGUUUACCAAAAACACAGCACUCUGCUAACUCGUAAGAGGAUGUAUAGGGUGUGACGCCUGCCCGGUGCUCGAAGGUUAAUUGAUGGGGUUAGCAUUAGCGAAGCUCUUGAUCGAAGCCCGAGUAAACGGCGGCCGUAACUAUAACGGUCCUAAGGUAGCGAAAUUCCUUGUCGGUUAAAUACCGACCUGCAUGAAUGGCGUAACGAGAUGGGAGCUGUCUCAAAGAGGGAUCCAGUGAAAUUGUAGUGGAGGUGAAAAUUCCUCCUACCCGCGGCAAGACGGAAAGACCCCGUGGACCUUUACUACAGCUUGACACUGCUAUUUGGAUAAGAAUGUGCAGGAUAGGUGGGAGGCUUUGAGUAUAUGACGCCAGUUGUAUAUGAGCCAUUGUUGAGAUACCACUCUUUCUUAUUUGGGUAGCUAACCAGCUUGAGUUAUCCUCAAGUGGGACAAUGUCUGGUGGGUAGUUUGACUGGGGCGGUCGCCUCCCAAAUAAUAACGGAGGCUUACAAAGGUUGGCUCAGAACGGUUGGAAAUCGUUCGUAGAGUAUAAAGGUAUAAGCCAGCUUAACUGCAAGACAUACAAGUCAAGCAGAGACGAAAGUCGGUCUUAGUGAUCCGGUGGUUCUGUGUGGAAGGGCCAUCGCUCAAAGGAUAAAAGGUACCCCGGGGAUAACAGGCUGAUCUCCCCCAAGAGCUCACAUCGACGGGGAGGUUUGGCACCUCGAUGUCGGCUCAUCGCAUCCUGGGGCUGGAGCAGGUCCCAAGGGUAUGGCUGUUCGCCAUUUAAAGCGGUACGCGAGCUGGGUUCAGAACGUCGUGAGACAGUUCGGUCCCUAUCUGCCGUGGGCGUAAGAAGAUUGAAGAGAUUUGACCCUAGUACGAGAGGACCGGGUUGAACAAACCACUGGUGUAGCUGUUGUUCUGCCAAGAGCAUCGCAGCGUAGCUAAGUUUGGAAAGGAUAAACGCUGAAAGCAUCUAAGCGUGAAGCCAACUCUAAGAUGAAUCUUCUCUAAGCUCUCUAGAAGACUACUAGUUUGAUAGGCUGGGUGUGUAAUGGAUGAAAGUCCUUUAGCUGACCAGUACUAAUAGAGCGUUUGGCUUAUCUUUAAUAAAGCAU